RNAcentral lists this ribosomal RNA (401 nucleotides) under uncultured bacterium. RNAcentral's name for it is "bacterial SSU rRNA". It matches the Rfam family "Bacterial small subunit ribosomal RNA", at positions 358 to 776 of the family's 1533-position model. The record is from RNAcentral.
GGAAUAUUGGACAAUGGGCGAAAGCCUGAUCCAGCAAUGCCGCGUGAGUGAUGAAGGCCUUAGGGUUGUAAAGCUCUUUCAGCUGGGAAGAUAAUGACGGUACCAGCAGAAGAAGCCCCGGCUAACUCCGUGCCAGCAGCCGCGGUAAUACGGAGGGGGCUAGCGUUGUUCGGAAUUACUGGGCGUAAAGCGCACGUAGGCGGAUCGGAAAGUUGGGGGUGAAAUCCCGGGGCUCAACCUCGGAACUGCCUCCAAAACUAUCGGUCUUGAGUUCGAGAGAGGUGAGUGGAAUUCCGAGUGUAGAGGUGAAAUUCGUAGAUAUUCGGAGGAACACCAGUGGCGAAGGCGGCUCACUGGCUCGAUACUGACGCUGAGGUGCGAAAGCGUGGGGAGCAAACAGG